This 207-nucleotide long non-coding RNA is filed under the name Elaeis guineensis (African oil palm). RNAcentral describes it as "long non-coding RNA (EGUI_LNC075327)". The record is from RNAcentral. Lineage: Eukaryota; Viridiplantae; Streptophyta; Magnoliopsida; Arecales; Arecaceae.
ACCCAUAGAGACCACUAGCAGAAAAAAUAGGUAGCAGCACUCUGCAUCAAACAUAGUAAGGCAACAAGUAGCAGAUGAACUACAGUAGAACCCCAGAGAUAGUAGAAGCACUGUAGCAAGUAAAAUUCAGAGUAUAAUCUGUCAGUAGGCAUGAUGUUGAACGUGCAGAGUGGAGAAGAAGUCGAAGCCUGUAAUAAGAUCACCCCA